GGCUUUUUGUUUAUAAUUUAAGGUCUGGCCUGCCCACUGAAAAUUUAAAGGGCCGUGGUAUUUUGACCGUGCUAAGGUAGCAUAAUCAUUAGUUUUUUAAUUGAAAACCNGAAUGAAGGGUUAGAUAAGAAAAGGACUGUCUCUGUUUAAUUUUAUUAGAAUUUUAUUUUUAAGUUAAAAAGCUUAAAUAAGUUUAAAAGACGAGAAGACCCUAUAGAGUUUUAUUAUUUUAUUAAUUAUAUAUUUUAGGAUUAAAUUGUUUAAUUAGUAUGAUAAUUUAAUUGGGGUGAUUGAAAAAUUAAAAUAACUUUUUUUUUAUUUUUACAUUGAUUUAUGAAUUUUUGAUCCAAUAAUUUUGAUUAUAAGAUUAAAUUACCUUAGGGAUAACAGCGUAAUUUUUUUUGAAAGUUCUUAUUGAAAAAAAAGAUUGCGACCUCGAUGUUGGAUUAAAAUUAAAUUUUGGUGUAGAAGCUAAAAGUUUAGGUCUGUUCGACCUUUAAAAUUUUACA
Molecule: ribosomal RNA, 509 nt
Filed under: Plagiodera sp. BMNH#704394
Lineage: Eukaryota; Metazoa; Arthropoda; Insecta; Coleoptera; Chrysomelidae
Description: partial 16S ribosomal RNA
Rfam family: Bacterial large subunit ribosomal RNA
Source: RNAcentral